GAUGACCCAUAAAGUGGAAUCAAAAUAUCACAGCUCCUUCUAAUUUACUGUCUAGACCCACUGAAGAAAAGUCUUGACAAUAAAUAUGUCAAAUCAACAAUUCAAAGCCCUGUUUAGAUUUACUUAAAGAACAGUGAUGAAAAUGAUGACCCUUUGUUUCAUGCAGCUUGUGUUUUGCUGUUUGUGACAUGGUAUACAUGCAGGCUGACUAAACUACGUUUUCUAAUUUCAUAAUUCGAUAUAGUCGAUAUUUGUGUUCAAUCUCGAUAUAUUGAUUUUUCCCAUAUAGCAUCAGCCUAAUAAAACCCAAAAUAGUUUCAAUUUAUGUUGCCUUGCUAGUGGGGCAGCACAUUGUCAUGCCUACUCAUAUGAUCUUCAAGUUCAGUGGCAAUUUCAAACUCGGCAUCGCAGACACAACAGAUAUAACCAAUACCAGUUGCUUCUCUUGCUUCUAAUUCCUUACAGACAUCACAUUGGUAGGACGUGCCAUGGUCUCUGGCCUUGUGUUGAUAUAAGCUUUCAAUAUCUGGGAACCGUUUGUUGCAUUUGUUGCAGACAAAAUCAUCAUCACUCUCAUGUAUCUCAUUAGCAUGUCCUUGAUUUUGAAUAAUUUCUUUGCCACAGGUGUGGCACAAUAAUAAGCCAUCUCUUAAGUGUGAUCUCCAGUGACGUUUGAGACUUUGUCGUUUUGUGAAUGUUUUCUGGCAGAUACCACACUCCAAGCUCUCAUUUUUCUUGUGUGCUGAUAUUUUAUGUUGUGUUAACUUGUGUGAUUCUGAAAAUCUUGUGUUGCAAACGUCACAUUGGUAAGGUUUGUCUCCAGUGUGUGUUCUUUUAUGUCUAGUUAAGUCGCUUGAGCGCGAAAAUCUUUUCUGGCAAACAUCACAUUCAUAAGGUUUUUCUCCAGUGUGUGUUCUCUUAUGAACCGCUAAGUGACUUGAUUGUGAAAAUCUUUUGUUGCAAACAUCACAUUCAUAAGGUUUCUCGCCAGUGUGUGUUCUCUUAUGAACCGUUAAAUGACUUGAGUGUGAAAAUCGUUUGUUGCAAACAUCGCAUUCAUAAGGUUUGUCUCCAAUGUGUGUUCUCUUAUGACAUGCUAAGUUACUUGAGUGUGAAAAUAGUUUGUUGCAAACAACGCAUUCAUAAGGUUUCUCUCCAGUGUGUGUUCUCUUAUGAACCGCUAAGUGGCCCGCCUGUGAAACUCUUUUGUUGCAAACAUCACAUUCAUAAGGUUUGUCUCCAGUGUGUGUUUUCUUAUGAACCGCUAACUGACUUGAGUGUGAAAAUCCUUUGUUGCAAACAUCGCAUUCAUAAGGUUUGUCUCCAAUGUGUGUUCUCUUAUGUUUAGUUAGGGUGCUUGGGUCAGGAAAUCUUUUGUUGCAAACAUCACAUUUAUAAGGUUUCUUUCCAGUGUGCGUUCUUUCAUGUAAAGCCAAGGUGUCUGAUCGGGAAAAUCUUUUUUUACAAACAUCACAUUCAAAAGGUUUGUCUCCAGUGUGUGUUUUCUUAUGAAUGGUUAAAUUGCUUGACUUAGAAAAUCUUUUAUUGCAAACGUCACAUUCAUAAGGUUUGUCUUCACUGUGUGUUCUUUUAUGUCUCACCAAAUUUCCCUUCUUUGAAAAUACCCCGUUUGUAACCUCACAUUUCCUAGACAUGGUUUCAGCUUUUGAUCUUUUCUUCGUACGGUCAAAUAUUGAUAAAAAUAUCACCCAACCGUUCUCCUGAGUCUUUCUUUAUUGAAUCUUUAUAAUACUUCGGUUCUUGCACAAUUUCUGAUCAUAAAAAUGAGAGUAUUCAGAGACACAGUUUGCAAACAACAUGAGUAUCAAA
Molecule: long non-coding RNA, 1830 nt
Filed under: Paramuricea clavata
Lineage: Eukaryota; Metazoa; Cnidaria; Anthozoa; Malacalcyonacea; Plexauridae
Source: RNAcentral